Molecule: long non-coding RNA, 247 nt
Filed under: Elaeis guineensis (African oil palm)
Lineage: Eukaryota; Viridiplantae; Streptophyta; Magnoliopsida; Arecales; Arecaceae
Description: long non-coding RNA (EGUI_LNC018516)
Source: RNAcentral
CCAUGAAGAGGAAGAAGAUGUUAUGCACUUUCCCUAGGAUGUGAAGAUCUGGAGAUCACCAGCAAAUAGCACCAAAGAGAUGGCACCAACGAUUUCCUUCCUUCCUUCCUUGGAGGUGGUGGCUAGGGUUUGUUUCCCCCUCUUAAGAUGGUGUGCAACCAAAGUGAAGGAGAGAGAUGAGGGUUUUUUUGAGAGAAAAGCCGUAUUGUAUUCCACACACAUUAACUGUUACAAUAAUGAGUUUAUA